Molecule: non-coding RNA, 209 nt
Organism: Phascolarctos cinereus (koala)
Lineage: Eukaryota; Metazoa; Chordata; Mammalia; Diprotodontia; Phascolarctidae
Source: RefSeq, a predicted model, not a curated record
CUUCUUGUUGCUAAGAAUCAGGUGGUCUGUAGUCUUUCUCUGAUGACACUAUCUUCUCUCACUUUGUCUCUAUUGAGUUUUACCAAAAUGCUCUCCACCGUGUUUUCCCCAUCUGGUACCUGAAUCUCUUCAUGACAUAUCUGCCUCUCUAAUCUCCUACUUCUGCAAAGAAGGAAAAGAGGUACAUUUCCUCAACUCUCCUCCUGGGC